UACGUAGGGGGCAAGCGUUGUUCGGAAUUACUGGGCGUAAAGGGCUUGUAGGUGGCCAACUAAGUCAGACGUGAAAUCCCUCGGCUUAACCGGGGAACUGCGUCUGAUACUGGAUGGCUUGAGUGUGGGAGAGGGAUGCGGAAUUCCAGGUGUAGCGGUGAAAUGCGUAGAUAUCUGGAGGAACACCGGUGGCGAAGGCGGCAUCCUGGACCAUUACUGACACUGAAAAGCGAAAGCCAGGGGAGCAAACGGG
Molecule: ribosomal RNA, 253 nt
Filed under: uncultured bacterium
Lineage: Bacteria
Description: partial 16S ribosomal RNA
Rfam family: Bacterial small subunit ribosomal RNA
Source: RNAcentral